CUGUUCCCAUACCGAACACAGAAGUUAAGCCUCUUAGCGCCGAUGGUACUCGGGUGGCAACGCCCCGGGAGAGUAGGAAGUUGCCGGGC
This 89-nucleotide ribosomal RNA is filed under the name Tissierellia bacterium. Lineage: Bacteria; Bacillati; Bacillota; Tissierellia. The record is from RNAcentral.